Molecule: ribosomal RNA, 251 nt
Filed under: uncultured prokaryote
Description: partial 16S rRNA
Rfam family: Bacterial small subunit ribosomal RNA
Source: RNAcentral
ACGUAGGGGGCGAGCGUUGUCCGGAAUUACUGGGCGUAAAGGGUGCGUAGGCGGCGAGGGAAGACCAGAGGGAAAAGCCCGGGCUUAACCUGGGAGGUGCAGUGGAAACUGCAUGGCUUGAGUGCAGGAGAGGAAAGCGGAAUUCCUAGUGUGGCGGUGAAAUGCGUAGAUAUUAGGAGGAACACCAGUGGCGAAGGCGGCUUUCUGGACUGUAACUGACGCUGAGGCACGAAAGCGUGGGGAGCAAACAG